AAUAGAUACCCAGGUAGUCCACGCCGUAAACGGUGGGCACUAGGUGUGGGCGACAUUCCACGUCGUCCGUGCCGCAGCUAACGCAUUAAGUGCCCCGCCUGGGGAGUACGGCCGCAAGGCUAAAACUCAAAGGAAUUGACGGGGGGNCCCGGCACAAGCGGCGGAGCAUGUGGCUUAAUUCGACGCAACGCGAAGAACCUUACCAAGGCUUGACAUACACCGGAAACGUCCAGAGAUGGGCGCCCCCUUGUGGUCGGUGUACAGGUGGUGCAUGGCUGUCGUCAGCUCGUGUCGUGAGAUGUUGGGUUAAGUCCCGCAACGAGCGCAACCCUUGUCCCGUGUUGCCAGCAGGCCCUUGUGGUGCUGGGGACUCACGGGAGACCGCCGGGGUCAACUCGGAGGAAGGUGGGGACGACGUCAAGUCAUCAUGCCCCUUAUGUUUUGGGCUGCACACGUGCUACAAUGGCCGGUACAAUGAGCUGCGAUACCGCGAGGUGGAGCGAAUCUCAAAAGCCGGUCUCAGUUCGGAUUGGGGU
RNAcentral lists this ribosomal RNA (536 nucleotides) under uncultured bacterium. Its description in RNAcentral is "bacterial SSU rRNA". It matches the Rfam family "Bacterial small subunit ribosomal RNA", at positions 777 to 1304 of the family's 1533-position model. The record is from RNAcentral.